GGAAGUAAAAGUCGUAAUAAGGUUUCCGUAGGUGAACCUGCGGAAGGAUCAUUACUGAGUGAGGGCCCCUCGGGGUCCAACCUCCCACCCGUGUUUAACGAACCUUGUUGCUUCGGCGGGCCCGCCUCACGGCCGCCGGGGGGCAUCUGCCCCCGGGCCCGCGCCCGCCGAAGCCACCUGUGAACGCUGUCUGAAGUAUGCAGUCUGAGACAAUUAUUAAAUUAAUUAAAACUUUCAACAACGGAUCUCUUGGUUCCG
RNAcentral lists this unclassified non-coding RNA (258 nucleotides) under plant metagenome. Its description in RNAcentral is "partial contains small subunit ribosomal RNA, internal transcribed spacer 1, and 5.8S ribosomal RNA". The stretch from base 1 to 54 matches the Rfam family "Eukaryotic small subunit ribosomal RNA", at positions 1778 to 1831 of the family's 1831-position model. The record is from RNAcentral.